This is a long non-coding RNA of Brassica napus (rape), 371 nucleotides long. RefSeq lists it as uncharacterized. The transcript has 3 exons. Lineage: Eukaryota; Viridiplantae; Streptophyta; Magnoliopsida; Brassicales; Brassicaceae. The record is from RefSeq and is a predicted model, not a curated record.
UCCCAGGCGUUUACUCAGCAUUUGAGAUCCUCCACUUUGUCAAGUACCCCGGCCUUGGAAACGAUUUCAUUCUGGUAGACAAUAGGGAUUCCUCAGAGCCUAAUAUUACUCAGGAGCAAGCUGUGAAGCUCUGUGAUCGAAACUUUGGCGUUGGUGCGGAGUCAUCUUUGCGAUGCCUGGUGCGGCACUGAUUACACUAUGAGGAUAUUCAACUCAGAUGGUAGCGAACCAGAGAUGUGUGGAAAUGAAGUUAGAUGCUUUGCAAGAUUCAUUGCUAAGAUUGAGAAUCUACAAGGAAAGCAUAGUUUUACAAUACAUACUGGUGAUGGCCUCAUCAUUUCAGAGAUUCAAGAUGAUGGGCAGGUAAAAAG